UGGGGAAUAUUGCACAAUGGAGGGAACUCUGAUGCAGCGACGCCGCGUGAACGAAGAAGGCUUUCGAGUCGUAAAGUUCUUUUAGAUGGGAAGAUAAUGACGGUACCAUAAGAAAAAGCCCCGGCUAACUACGUGCCAGCAGCCGCGGUAAUACGUAGGGGGCUAGCGUUGUCCGGAAUCACUGGGCGUAAAGGGUUCGCAGGCGGAAAUGCAAGUCAGGUGUAAAAGGCAGUAGCUUAACUACUGUAAGCAUUUGAAACUGCAUAUCUUGAGAAGAGUAGAGGUAAGUGGAAUUUUUAGUGUAGCGGUGAAAUGCGUAGAUAUUAAAAAGAAUACCGGUGGCGAAGGCGACUUACUGGGCUCAUUCUGACGCUGAGGAACGAAAGCGUGGGUAGCAAACAGG
This 403-nucleotide ribosomal RNA is filed under the name Fusobacteriota bacterium. RNAcentral's name for it is "Fusobacteria bacterium partial 16S ribosomal RNA". It matches the Rfam family "Bacterial small subunit ribosomal RNA", at positions 355 to 776 of the family's 1533-position model. Lineage: Bacteria; Fusobacteriati; Fusobacteriota. The record is from RNAcentral.